CGUAGGUGGCAAGCGUUGUCCGGAAUUAUUGGGCGUAAAGCGCGCGCAGGCGGUUCCUUAAGUCUGAUGUGAAAGCCCCCGGCUCAACCGGGGAAGGUCAUUGGAAACUGGGGAACUUGAGUGCAGAAGAGAAGAGCGGAAUUCCACGUGUAGCAGUGAAAUGCGUAGAGAUGUGGAGGAACACCAGUGGCGAAGGCGGCUCUUUGGUCUGUAACUGACGCUGAGGCGCGAAAGCGUGGGGAGCAAACAGGAUUAGAUACCCUGGUAGUCCACGCCGUAAACGAUGAGUGCUAAGUGUUAGAGGGUUUCCGCCCUUUAGUGCUGCAGCUAACGCAUUAAGCACUCCGCCUGGGGAGUACGGCCGCAAGGCUG
Molecule: ribosomal RNA, 372 nt
Filed under: uncultured organism
Description: bacterial SSU rRNA
Rfam family: Bacterial small subunit ribosomal RNA
Source: RNAcentral